UUUUUAAAACGCUUGAAAGAUACAGAUUAUGACGCGUUUUGAAGAGAAGGACGCAGCCGAUUGUCAACAACAAUAGUAUUUGUUUUGGCUAAUUUAACAAGACAACCAAUAUCAAGGAGCUAUGAAUAGUAAUAAAUACUCGAGAAUAUACUACAGCAAUAUAACAAGGAAUGGACAGAGGAGUUGACUAUGGAUAAUGACUGAUACUGGAAUGAAGGAACCUAUAUGCAGGGUCAAAUGAUUCAAUGCCUGACAGUCCAUUUUUAUAUGUACAUAAAAUGUAUGUUGACAGCCAAUGCUCCCAAGAUGUAAGUGGAAGUGAAGCUAUACAAUAAAUGAAUGAAUUGAUUAGAUAUACAUGUAGAGGAGACUCUAGAUCAACAGUACAUGUAACUUAAACUGGAACUGUAGGAAGUAUUCCAAUGUCUGAUUGCUAAGUAUGCAUUACAGGAUUUUAUUAUUGGAGCAACAUCUUAGGAUGAUAAGUGCAAAUGUAUAAAGGAAUCCUUGGGAACAAAACGCAAUUAUAUGCAGAAGAGGAGUCUUAAACAUUAUUAACAGAGUCAAAGUAGUGGUGUAUUCAAGAAGUGUAAACCAACUGGAAUUAACUAUUGUGUAUAUUUUUUCAACCUCAAGUACUUUCAGAAUUAUAAUACAAUUCAAAUUAUUGUG
Mytilus trossulus (common blue mussel) is the source of this 672-nucleotide long non-coding RNA. RefSeq lists it as uncharacterized. The record is from RefSeq and is a predicted model, not a curated record. NCBI's taxonomy places the organism in Eukaryota, Metazoa, Mollusca, Bivalvia, Mytilida, Mytilidae. The transcript is spliced from 4 exons.